CCUACGGGUUGCACCAGUAGGGAAUCUUCCACAAUGGGCGCAAGCCUGAUGGAGCAACGCCGCGUGUGUGAUGAAGGGUUUCGGCUCGUAAAACACUGUUAUAAGAGAAGAACGGCACUGAGAGUAACUGUUCAGUGUGUGACGAUAUCUUACCAGAAAGGAACGGCUAAAUACGUGCCAGCAGCCGCGGUAAUACGUAUGUUCCAAGCGUUAUCCGGAUUUAUUGGGCGUAAAGCGAGCGCAGACGGUUAUUUAAGUCUGAAGUGAAAGCCCUCAGCUCAACUGAGGAAUUGCUUUGGAAACUGGAUGACUUGAGUGCAGUAGAGGAAAGUGGAACUCCAUGUGUAGCGGUGAAAUGCGAAGAUAUAUGGAAGAACACCAGUGGCGAAGGCGGCUUUCUGGACUGUAACUGACGUUGAGGCUCGAAAGUGUGGGUAGCAAACAGGAUUAGAUACCCCUGUAGUC
Molecule: ribosomal RNA, 465 nt
Filed under: uncultured bacterium
Lineage: Bacteria
Description: bacterial SSU rRNA
Rfam family: Bacterial small subunit ribosomal RNA
Source: RNAcentral